AAGUCGUAACAAGGUUUCCGUAGGUAAACCUGCGGAAGGAUCAUUAACACGUAUCCACGUUAAUCCACCUGCUUAACAUUCCUUCUCGCGUUGUGGAUCCGUUAACCCAACCGGCAAAACUCGCCAAAUAACGGCUUCCGUUGGAAGCUAGAACGAAACCCGAACAACUGUGAACAAUGGCUAUCUUGGCUCUU
Molecule: unclassified non-coding RNA, 194 nt
Filed under: fungal sp.
Lineage: Eukaryota; Fungi
Description: partial internal transcribed spacer region
Rfam family: Eukaryotic small subunit ribosomal RNA (bases 1-46)
Source: RNAcentral